AGCUUUGUGUAGUGGCAGUAUCAUAGCCAAUGAGGUUUAACUGAGGUGUGGUUAUUGCUAAUUGCUGAAGCUGAAGCUGAAGCUUGAUGAAAGCAGAGGAGCUGUGUUCCCACUAGGGAAGAGCUGCCGGCUUAUUUUUUGCUGGGGGUUUUGCACAUGCUC
Molecule: small nuclear RNA, 162 nt
Filed under: Xenopus tropicalis (tropical clawed frog)
Lineage: Eukaryota; Metazoa; Chordata; Amphibia; Anura; Pipidae
Description: U4 spliceosomal RNA (ENSXETG00000029864.3)
Rfam family: U4 spliceosomal RNA (bases 1-65)
Source: RNAcentral